GGAUGAACGCUGGCGGCGUGCUUAAUACAUGCAAGUCGAACGGAGACUGUAGCAAUACUGUCUUAGUGGCGAACGGGUGAGUAACGCGUUGGUGACCUGCCCCGAAGAGGGGGAUAACAGUCCGAAAGGAUUGCUAAUACCCCAUGUGGUCGUUUGGAUUAGAUGCCUUACGACUAAACGGAUUUAUUCGCUUCGGGAGGGGCCUGCGUCCCAUCAGCUAGUUGGUAGGGUAAUAGCCUACCAAGGCAACGAUGGAUAGGGGAACUGAGAGGUUUAUCCCCCACACUGGUACUGAGACACGGACCAGACUCCUACGGGAGGCAGCAGUGAGGAAUAUUGGUCAAUGGACGCAAGUCUGAACCAGCCACGUCGCGUGAAGGAAGACGGCCCUACGGGUUGUAAACUUCUUUUGUAAGGGAAUAAAGUGUAGUACGCGUACUAUUUUGCAUGUACCUUACGAAUAAGGAUCGGCUAACUCCGUGCCAGCAGCCGCGGUAAUACGGAGGAUCCGAGCGUUAUCCGGAUUUAUUGGGUUUAAAGGGUGCGCAGGCGGGAGAUUAAGUCGGCGGUGAAAUUUUGCAGCUCAACUGUAGAAGUGCCUUCGAAACUGGUUUUCUUGAGUGUGGAUGAAGUAGGCGGAAUUUGUGGUGUAGCGGUGAAAUGCAUAGAUAUCACGAGGAACUCCGAUUGCGCAGGCAGCUUACUAAACUACUACUGACGCUCAGGCACGAAGGCGUGGGGAUCAAACAGGAUUAGAUACCCUGGUAGUCCACGCAGUAAACGAUGAUUACUAGCUGUUUGCGAUAUACAGUAAGCGGCUUAGCGAAAGCGUUAAGUAAUCCACCUGGGGAGUACGUUCGCAAGAAUGAAACUCAAAGGAAUUGACGGGGGCCCGCACAAGCGGAGGAACAUGUGGUUUAAUUCGAUGAUACGCGAGGAACCUUACCCGGGCUUGAAAUGCAUCUGACAGGGGCAGAGACGCCCUCUUCCUUCGGGACAGAUGUGUAGGUGCUGCAUGGUUGUCGUCAGCUCGUGCCGUGAGGUGUCGGCUUAAGUGCCAUAACGAGCGCAACCCUCAUCAUUAGUUACCAUCAGGUCAAGCUGGGGACUCUAAUGAGACUGCCAUCGUAAGAUGCGAGGAAGGUGGGGAUGACGUCAAAUCAGCACGGCCCUUACGUCCGGGGCGACACACGUGUUACAAUGGGUGGUACAAAGGGCAGCUACAUGGCGACAUGAUGCUAAUCUCCAAAACCACUCUCAGUUCGGAUCGGAGUCUGCAACUCGACUCCGUGAAGCUGGAUUCGCUAGUAAUCGCGCAUCAGCCACGGCGCGGUGAAUACGUUCCCGGGCCU
RNAcentral lists this ribosomal RNA (1352 nucleotides) under uncultured bacterium. RNAcentral's name for it is "bacterial SSU rRNA". It matches the Rfam family "Bacterial small subunit ribosomal RNA", at positions 27 to 1381 of the family's 1533-position model. The record is from RNAcentral.